UUAGUAACUGCGAGUGAAGAGGGAAAAGCUCAAAUUUAAGAUCUGGCAGCAUUUUGUUGUCCGAGUUGUAACCUAGAGAAGUGUAACCUGUGCUGGACCGUGUAUAAGUUUCCUGGAAUGGAGCAUCACAGAGGGUGAGAAUCCCGUCUUUGACAUGGACUACCAGUGCAUUGUGGUUGUGCUCUCAACGAGUCGAGUUGUUUGGGAAUGCAGCUCUAAAUGGGUGGUAAAUUCCAUCUAAAGCUAAAUAUUGGCGAGAGACCGAUAGCGAACAAGUACCGUGAGGGAAAGAUGAAAAGAACUUUGGAAAGAGAGUUAAACAGUAUGUGAAAUUGUUGAAAGGGAAACGUUUGAAGUCAGUCGCGUUAGCUGGGGAUCAGCCUGACAUUGUUGGGUGCACUUCCUGGUUGACGGGCCAACAUCAGUUUUGACUGCCAGAAAAAGGCCAAGGGAAUGUGGCACCUUUGGGUGUGUUAUAGCCUUUGGUCAUAUAUGGUGGUUGGGACUGAGGAAUGCAGUGUGCCGAAAGGCCGGGUUUCGACCACGUUCACACUGAGGAUGUUGGCAUAAUGGCUUUAAGCGACCCGUCUUGAAACACGGACCAAGGAGUCUAACAUGCAUGCGAGUGUUUGGGUGGAAAACCCUUACGCGUAAUGAAAGUGAAAGUUGAGAUCCCUGUCAUGGGGAGCAUCGACGCCCGGACCAGAACUUUUGGGACGGAUCUGCGGUAGAGCACGUAUGUUGGGACCCGAAAGAUGGUGAACUAUGCCUGAAUAGGGUGAAGCCAGAGGAAACUCUGGUGGAGGCUCGUAGCGAUUCUGACGUGCAAAUCGAUCGUCAAAUUUGGGUAUAGGGGCGAAAGACUAAUCG
RNAcentral lists this ribosomal RNA (870 nucleotides) under Amanita fritillaria. RNAcentral's name for it is "eukaryotic LSU rRNA". It matches the Rfam family "Eukaryotic large subunit ribosomal RNA", at positions 80 to 937 of the family's 3401-position model. Lineage: Eukaryota; Fungi; Basidiomycota; Agaricomycetes; Agaricales; Amanitaceae. The record is from RNAcentral.